AAGGCCUACGGGGCGCAGCAGUGGGGAAUAUUGCACAAUGGGGGAAACCCUGAUGCAGCGACGCCGCGUGAAGGAAGAAGUAUUUCGGUAUGUAAACUUCUAUCAGCAGGGAAGAAAAUGACGGUACCUGACUAAGAAGCCCCGGCUAACUACGUGCCAGCAGCCGCGGUAAUACGUAGGGGGCAAGCGUUAUCCGGAUUUACUGGGGGUAAAGGGAGCGGAGGCGGCGAUGCAAGUCAGAAGUGAAAGCGCGGGGCUCAACUGCGGGACUG
This 272-nucleotide ribosomal RNA is filed under the name uncultured bacterium. RNAcentral's name for it is "partial 16S ribosomal RNA". It matches the Rfam family "Bacterial small subunit ribosomal RNA", at positions 334 to 623 of the family's 1533-position model. The record is from RNAcentral.